UUAAAAGCACACAAGGAAAUACAAUGACAUGAAAAAUAAAAUUUGUCUUAUUUUAUGCUCAAAAGGACCUGGAAAAUCACUUUAAAAUCUAUUUAUCUUUAUAUUUUUCCCAUAUAAAACAGAGAGUGUAAGGAAAAAAAAAAACUCUCAAAAGUAACCCAAGUUAACGGUACAUUUUUACCCCUUUAUUGAGUGCUAUUUACAUGGUGUUAAUGGUAUUUAAUGGUCAUAAUCCUCAUUUUACA
This 245-nucleotide long non-coding RNA is filed under the name Pan troglodytes (chimpanzee). Its description in RNAcentral is "long non-coding RNA NONPTRT006855". The record is from RNAcentral. Lineage: Eukaryota; Metazoa; Chordata; Mammalia; Primates; Hominidae.